This 523-nucleotide long non-coding RNA is filed under the name Homo sapiens (human). Its description in RNAcentral is "PREDICTED lncRNA (TCONS_00238418)". Lineage: Eukaryota; Metazoa; Chordata; Mammalia; Primates; Hominidae. The record is from RNAcentral.
GGGCCCAGUCGCGUCGGGCCUCCCGAGGGGGCUGCGAGUGUCAGUCGGCUCUCCGCACGUGUCCGCGGCCUCGCGGAGCAGUCCACCCCUGGCUGGUUUCUGCUUCCACCUGCUGAUCUCACAGAGGUGAGGUGAUAACAGUGAUGAAACAAAAUCUUCAAACCACAGCACACACUGCAAGCUAUUUGGCAUAUGAAGGUCUUGACCUGAGAAAACCAUCUUGGAUAACUGCAGCAAGGAAAAGGAAAAAUGCAACACCUAGGAGAUUUCAGUAAACAGUAGAAUCAUGCCAACCUAAUCUGUGUUAAAAUGCUUGGAAUGUGGGAGCCGCUGAUGAUGCCUCUUGUCUGUGUGUCUGACUGAAUCCUUUCUUUUCUCAGAGCAGCAAAGCAAAGCCUGGGAACCAGGCCAAAUGCCUGCCACUUACCUUAAAUUGAUCAGCCACUUUGAGAUUAAAACCCCUGAAAGCUGCCACACCGUGAAAACAAGGCCUCCUUCACAUUAAAGGCAAAUUGCGACUUUG